UACGUAGGUGACCAGCGUUGUCCGGAUUUACUGGGCGUAAAGAGCGCGCAGGCGGUCGUUCAAGUCGAGUGUGAAAGCCCCCGGCUCAACUGGGGAGGGUCACUCGAUACUGAUCGACUUGAAGGCAGGAGAGGGAAGCGGAAUUCCCGGUGGAGUGGUGAAAUGCGUAGAGAUCGGGAGGAACACCAGUGGCGCAAGCGGCCCCCAAGCCUGAACCUGACGCUGAAGCGCGACAGCGUGGGGAGCAAACGGG
Molecule: ribosomal RNA, 253 nt
Filed under: uncultured bacterium
Lineage: Bacteria
Description: partial 16S ribosomal RNA
Rfam family: Bacterial small subunit ribosomal RNA
Source: RNAcentral